RNAcentral lists this ribosomal RNA (497 nucleotides) under uncultured bacterium. Its description in RNAcentral is "partial 16S ribosomal RNA". It matches the Rfam family "Bacterial small subunit ribosomal RNA", at positions 28 to 507 of the family's 1533-position model. The record is from RNAcentral.
GAUGAACGCUGGCGGCGUGCCUAAUACAUGCCAGUCGAGCGAACAGAUAAGGAGCUUGCUCCUUUGACGUUAGCGGCGGACGGGUGAGUAACACGUGGAUAACCUACCUAUAAGACUGGGAUAACUUCGGGAAACCGGAGCUAAUACCGAAUAACAUAUUGAACCGCAUGGUUCAAUAGUGAAAGGCGGCUUUGCUGUCACUUAUAGAUGGAUCCGCGCCGUAUUAGCUAGUUGGUAAGGUAACGGCUUACCAAGGCAACGAUACGUAGCCGACCUGAGAGGGUGAUCGGCCACACUGGAACUGAGACACGGUCCAGACUCCUACGGGAGGCAGCAGUAGGGAAUCUUCCGCAAUGGGCGAAAGCCUGACGGAGCAACGCCGCGUGAGUGAUGAAGGUCUUCGGAUCGUAAAACUCUGUUAUCAGGGAAGAACAAAUGUGUAAGUAACUGUGCACAUCUUGACGGUACCUGAUCAGAAAGCCACGGCUAACUACGUG